UGGGGAAUAUUGGACAAUGGGCGAAAGCCUGAUCCAGCCAUGCCGCGUGUGUGAAGAGGGCCCUCGGGUUGUAAAGCACUUUCAGUGGGGAAGAAAGCCUUGGGAUUAAUACUCCCGAGGAAGGACAUCACCCACAGAAGAAGCACCGGCUAACUCCGUGCCAGCAGCCGCGGUAAUACGGAGGGUGCGAGCGUUAAUCGGAAUUACUGGGCGUAAAGCGCGCGUAGGCGGUCUGAUAAGCCGGUUGUGAAAGCCCCGGGCUCAACCUGGGAACGGCAUCCGGAACUGUCAGGCUAGAGUGCAGGAGAGGAAGGUAGAAUUCCCGGUGUAGCGGUGAAAUGCGUAGAGAUCGGGAGGAAUACCAGUGGCGAAGGCGGCCUUCUGGACUGACACUGACGCUGAGGUGCGAAAGCGUGGGUAGCAAACA
This 427-nucleotide ribosomal RNA is filed under the name uncultured Halomonas sp. RNAcentral describes it as "bacterial SSU rRNA". It matches the Rfam family "Bacterial small subunit ribosomal RNA", at positions 355 to 774 of the family's 1533-position model. Lineage: Bacteria; Pseudomonadati; Pseudomonadota; Gammaproteobacteria; Oceanospirillales; Halomonadaceae. The record is from RNAcentral.